UACGUAGGAGGCAAGCGUUGUCCGGAAUUACUGGGUGUAAAGCGCGUGUAGGUGGGAGGCCAAGUCUGUGGUGAAAGCGCCCGGCUCAACUGGGCAGAGUCCAUGGAAACUGGUCACCUGGAGGACGGUAGAGGCGAGUGGAAUUCCCGGUGUAGUGGUGAAAUGCGUAGAUAUUAGGAAGAACACCAGUGGCGAAGGCGGCUCACUGGUCCGGUACUGACGCUGAGGUGCGAAAGCGUGGGGAGCAAACAGG
This 253-nucleotide ribosomal RNA is filed under the name uncultured bacterium. Its description in RNAcentral is "partial 16S ribosomal RNA". It matches the Rfam family "Bacterial small subunit ribosomal RNA", at positions 524 to 776 of the family's 1533-position model. The record is from RNAcentral.